RNAcentral lists this ribosomal RNA (800 nucleotides) under uncultured bacterium. Its description in RNAcentral is "bacterial SSU rRNA". It matches the Rfam family "Bacterial small subunit ribosomal RNA", at positions 8 to 795 of the family's 1533-position model. The record is from RNAcentral.
AGAGUUUGAUCAUGGCUCAGAUUGAACGCUGGCGGCAGGCCUAACACAUGCAAGUCGAACGGUAACAGGAAGCAGCUUGCUGCUUUGCUGACGAGUGGCGGACGGGUGAGUAAUGUCUGGGAAACUGCCUGAUGGAGGGGGAUAACUACUGGAAACGGUAGCUAAUACCGCAUAACGUCGCAAGACCAAAGAGGGGGACCUUAGGGCCUCUUGCCAUCGGAUGUGCCCAGAUGGGAUUAGCUAGUAGGUGGGGUAACGGCUCACCUAGGCGACGAUCCCUAGCUGGUCUGAGAGGAUGACCAGCCACACUGGAACUGAGACACGGUCCAGACUCCUACGGGAGGCAGCAGUGGGGAAUAUUGCACAAUGGGCGCAAGCCUGAUGCAGCCAUGCCGCGUGUAUGAAGAAGGCCUUCGGGUUGUAAAGUACUUUCAGCGGGGAGGAAGGGAGUAGAGUUAAUACCUUUGCUCAUUGACGUUACCCGCAGAAGAAGCACCGGCUAACUCCGUGCCAGCAGCCGCGGUAAUACGGAGGGUGCAAGCGUUAAUCGGAAUUACUGGGCGUAAAGCGCACGCAGGCGGUUUGUUAAGUCAGAUGUGAAAUCCCCGGGCUCAACCUGGGAACUGCAUCUGGUACUGGCAAGCUUGAGUCUCGUAGAGGGGGGUAGAAUUCCAGGUGUAGCGGUGAAAAUGCGUAGAGAUCUGGAGGAAUACCGGUGGCGAAGGCGGCCCCCUGGACGAAGACUGACGCUCAGGUGCGAAAGCGUGGGGAAGCAAACAGGAUUAGAUACCCUGGUAGUC